RNAcentral lists this ribosomal RNA (411 nucleotides) under Triticum aestivum (bread wheat). RNAcentral describes it as "partial small subunit ribosomal RNA". The record is from RNAcentral. Lineage: Eukaryota; Viridiplantae; Streptophyta; Magnoliopsida; Poales; Poaceae.
AUGAUAAAGGCAUUUUCAGUUUGGUUUUCUAGCAAAAUCUCCUGGUGUGUGCGACGGAUGAAUGCGGACAAGAAUGUAAAACAGUGUUUUCAACUGUGCGUACUUGCGCCAUUCUCCUCGUUUGGCAGGAGAGGAUCCAACAACACCGCGCCGCCGCCCGCUCACAGUGUCGCCGCCCGACUCCUCCUCAACGCGCCGCAGACCAACUCCUCGAUGCCGAUGUACCUCCUCCGCCAUACUGGGCUUCUCCCCGGUGGUAAGCCCUCGCCUCGUCUCCCCCUCUUUCCCCAUCGCCGUCCAGGUUUCUUCCAUCCGCCGGUCCAUGGCUGCCGCCUCGUCUUCCCCGGCGAGCUCGCCAAGCACGCCGUCUCCGAGGGCAGCAGGGCCGUCAACAAGUUCACCUCCUCCUAG